GACGAACGCUGGCGGCGUGCUUAACACAUGCAAGUCGAACGGAAAGGCCCUGCUUUUGUGGGGUGCUCGAGUGGCGAACGGGUGAGUAACACGUGAGUAACCUGCCCUUGACUUUGGGAUAACUUCAGGAAACUGGGGCUAAUACCGGAUAGGAGCUCCUGCUGCAUGGUGGGGGUUGGAAAGUUUCGGCGGUUGGGGAUGGACUCGCGGCUUAUCAGCUUGUUGGUGGGGUAGUGGCUUACCAAGGCUUUGACGGGUAGCCGGCCUGAGAGGGUGACCGGCCACAUUGGGACUGAGGUACGGCGCAGACUCCUACGGGAGGCAGCAGUGGGGAAUAUUGCACAAUGGGCGGAAGCCUGAUGCAGCAACGCCGCGUGCGUGAUGACGGCCUUCGGGUUGUAAACCGCUUUCGCCUGUGACGAAGCGUGAGUGACGGUAAUGGGUAAAGAAGCACCGGCUAACUACGUG
RNAcentral lists this ribosomal RNA (468 nucleotides) under uncultured bacterium. RNAcentral describes it as "partial 16S ribosomal RNA". It matches the Rfam family "Bacterial small subunit ribosomal RNA", at positions 28 to 507 of the family's 1533-position model. The record is from RNAcentral.